CCUACGGGUGGCAGCAGUGAGGCAUAUUGGUCAAUGGACGCAAGUCUGCACCAGCCAUGCCGCGUGCAGGAAGACGGCUCUAUGAGUUGUAAACUGCUUUUGUACGAGGGUACACUCAGAUACGCGUAUCUGUCUGAAAGUAUCGUACGAAUAAGGAUCGGCUAACUCCGUGCCAGCAGCCGCGGUAAUACGGAGGAUUCAAGCGUUAUCCGGAUUUAUUGGGUUUAAAGGGUGCGUAGGCGGUCGGAUAAGUUAGAGGUGAAAUCCCGAGGCUCAACUUCGGAAUUGCCUCUGAUACUGUUAGGCUAGAGAGUAGUUGCGGUAGGCGGAAUGUAUGGUGUAGCGGUGAAAUGCUUAGAGAUCAUACAGAACACCGAUUGCGAAGGCAGCUUACCAAGCUACUUCUGACGUUGAGGCACGAAAGCGUGGGGAGCAAACAGGAUUAGAUACCCCUGUAGUC
This 460-nucleotide ribosomal RNA is filed under the name uncultured bacterium. Its description in RNAcentral is "partial 16S ribosomal RNA". It matches the Rfam family "Bacterial small subunit ribosomal RNA", at positions 338 to 795 of the family's 1533-position model. The record is from RNAcentral.